AGUCGAGCGGUAACAGGAAUUAGCUUGCUAAUUUGCUGACGAGCGGCGGACGGGUGAGUAACGCGUAGGAAUCUGCCUGGUAGUGGGGGACAACAUGUGGAAACGCAUGCUAAUACCGCAUACGCCCUACGGGGGAAAGGAGGGGAUCUUCGGACCUUUCGCUAUCAGAUGAGCCUGCGUGAGAUUAGCUAGUUGGUGGGGUAAAGGCUCACCAAGGCGACGAUCUCUAGCUGGUCUGAGAGGAUGAUCAGCCACACUGGGACUGAGACACGGCCCAGACUCCGACGGGAGGCAGCAGUGGGGAAUAUUGGACAAUGGGCGCAAGCCUGAUCCAGCCAUGCCGCGUGUGUGAAGAAGGCCUUAGGGUUGUAAAGCACUUUCAGAAGUGAGGAAGGGUGUGCCGUUAAUAC
This 410-nucleotide ribosomal RNA is filed under the name uncultured Oceanospirillaceae bacterium. RNAcentral's name for it is "bacterial SSU rRNA". It matches the Rfam family "Bacterial small subunit ribosomal RNA", at positions 60 to 466 of the family's 1533-position model. Lineage: Bacteria; Pseudomonadati; Pseudomonadota; Gammaproteobacteria; Oceanospirillales; Oceanospirillaceae. The record is from RNAcentral.